AGGGCCCCGAAGCUGAAGCCGAGCCCGUUGGCCGCAGGGGCCGCACCAGGCCAUAGACUCCGGGAGUUUCCGGGUGCGUAGACCCUUUCCCUCGGCGGAGGCUGCGGCUGCGCGUCCUCCCGGCGCGGAAGAGGCGGCUGGUGGUCCCCGACGGCAAGUGCAGGGGAAAGGAGAAUAAAGAACACUGAAUUGAUCUCAUAAAAAUCAAAGCAUAAAAGAAGCAGCAAGUAUAAGCCUGAUUAAAAAGAAAGUAAAGAAGGAGAUGGGUCAUUGAACUAAGGGGAGGCCUGGUGACAGCUCUUAGAAGAUGAAGUCUGACCAGAAUAGCACGUCUACCUGACAGAAAUGAAAACAUUUCCACACUAAAACAGGCACAUGAAUCUUCACAGCAGCAUUAUUCACAGUAGCCAAAAAAUGGAAACAUCCUAAACAUCCGUCAGCUGAUGAAUGGCGUCCACUCCCUGCCGUCUUUGCAUAGGAGAACCACAGUCCUGUAUUCAAAGGAAAAUACUGAUGACCCCCAGCACUGUGAAAAUCAGAACACUGAAUGGCAGGAUUCAAAAGGGCCAUGACAAAUAUGAGGGAAAUGGAAAAGGAGAAUGAGAUCCAUCUAUUGUGGAUCAAACUUAACAGACAAUGGCAGCAAGAAGUGGGGAGAGAAGAGAAACUUUCUCUGGAGUCUUGCCUAUUCUGCGCUUCCAACAAUAUGCCCCUUCCCCAUACCUUGCCCAAUGCAUCUCUUCAUCUAUAUCCUUUGUAAUAUCCUUUAUAUUAAACCAGCGAACAUAAGUGUUUCCUUGAGUUCUGUGAGCCACUUCAGCAAAUUAAUUGAACCCAAAAAGGGAGUUGUGAGAACCCCAUCUUUUUUCUUUCUUUUUUUUUUUUAAGACAGGAUCACGCUUUGUUGCGCAGGCUGGAGUGCAAUGGCACAGAUCACUGCUCACUGUAACCUUGAAUUCCUGGACUCAAGUGAUCCUUUCACCCCAACCUCCCAAGUAGCUAGGACUACACAGACUUGUACCUCCAUGCCGAGCUAAUUUUAAUUUUUAUUUUCUUGAGACAGGUCUCACGUUGCCCAGGCUGGUCUUGAACUCUUGGCCUCAAGUGAUCCUCCAGCCAUGAGCCACUGUAAAUGUCUGGGAACGCCAACUUGAAGCCCGGUUGGUCAGAAGUUCUAGAGGCCCAGACUUGCAACUGGUGUCUGAAGAGAUGCCAGUCUUAGGGACUGAGCCCUCAGCCUGAGGGAUCUGAUGCUAUUUCCAGGCAGAUAGUGUCAGAAUUAAAUUGGAGGAUACGCAGUUGGCGUCUGCUGCAGAACUGAUUGCUUGCUUGCUUGCUGGUAGGGGAAAUCCCCACAUAUCUGGGGGUCACUGAAGUCUUUGGUGUUGACUCUUACUGUGUUUGUUGUUUUCAUGUGAGAGCGGAGCAGAAAAGCAAAGAAAUGUUUUCCCCUGGUCUGUUUUCCAGACCAGUCUUUACAGAAACACACACACAGCUUCAAACAACACUGCACUUAUACAACCCUAAAAGUUAGUAAGUACCUCUUUCAGUUCUGCUCCAAGGACUUCAAUGAUUUCAGCCUUACUGUAGUCCUGGCCUUGAUUUUUAACAUCCAUCUCUCAGCAACUGGCAAAAAAAAAAAAAAAA
Molecule: long non-coding RNA, 1647 nt
Organism: Macaca mulatta (Rhesus monkey)
Lineage: Eukaryota; Metazoa; Chordata; Mammalia; Primates; Cercopithecidae
Source: Ensembl